UCAGGCCAUUCCCUGCAGCUGAUGAGCUCCAAGAAGAGGAAUCCUCCUAAGGUGGGUCCUGUAGUGUUGGCCUGGAGAGCU
RNAcentral lists this non-coding RNA (81 nucleotides) under Merops nubicus (carmine bee-eater). The record is from RNAcentral. Lineage: Eukaryota; Metazoa; Chordata; Aves; Coraciiformes; Meropidae.